AACAUCGCGCACCUGCGGGAACCUGCGGAAGGAUCAUUACCGAGUUUACAACUCCCAAACCCCUGUGAACAUACCUAUACGUUGCCUCGGCGGAUCAGCCCGCGCCCCGUAAAACGGGACGGCCCGCCCGAGGACCCCUAAACUCUGUUUUUAGUGGAACUUCUGAGUAAAACAAACAAAUAAAUCAAAACUUUCAGCAACGGAUCU
Molecule: unclassified non-coding RNA, 207 nt
Filed under: soil metagenome
Description: partial contains 5.8S ribosomal RNA, internal transcribed spacer 2, and large subunit ribosomal RNA
Source: RNAcentral